CAGUCGCGCGGUAAUACGGGGGGGGCGAGCGUCGUCCGAAGUUACUGGGCGUAAAGCGCGUGUAGGCGGGUUGUUAAGUCCGCUGUGAAAGCCCGGUGCUCAACGCCGGAGGGUCGGUGGAUACUGGCAGUCUUGAAGUGGCUAGGGGGAAAUGGAAUUACCGGUGUAGCGGUGAAAUGCGUAGAUAUCGGUAGGAACACCAGUGGCGAAGGCGGUUUCCUGGAGCUAACUUGACGCUGAGACGCGAAAGCUGGGGGAGCAAACGGGAUUAGAUACCCGCGUAGUCCCUGUCUCUUAUACA
Molecule: ribosomal RNA, 301 nt
Filed under: uncultured bacterium
Lineage: Bacteria
Description: partial 16S ribosomal RNA
Rfam family: Bacterial small subunit ribosomal RNA
Source: RNAcentral